UACGGAGAGUGCAAGCGUUGUUCGGAAUUAUUGGGCGUAAAGCGCGUGUAGGUGGCUUUUCAAGUCUGAUGUGAAAGCCCAGGGCUCAACCCUGGAAGUGCAUUGGAAACUGUUGAGCUUGAGUACUGGAGGGGGAAGUGGAAUUCUCGAGUGUAGAGGUGAAAUUCGUAGAUAUUCGGAAGAACAUCAGUGGCGAAGGCGACUUCCUGGACAGAUACUGACACUGAGACGCGAAAGCGUGGGUAGCAAACAGG
RNAcentral lists this ribosomal RNA (254 nucleotides) under uncultured bacterium. Its description in RNAcentral is "partial 16S ribosomal RNA". It matches the Rfam family "Bacterial small subunit ribosomal RNA", at positions 524 to 776 of the family's 1533-position model. The record is from RNAcentral.